Molecule: ribosomal RNA, 460 nt
Filed under: uncultured bacterium
Lineage: Bacteria
Description: partial 16S ribosomal RNA
Rfam family: Bacterial small subunit ribosomal RNA
Source: RNAcentral
CCUACGGGAGACAGCAGUGAGGAAUAUUGGUCAAUGGACGAGAGUCUGAACCAGCCAAGUAGCGUGAAGGAUGAAUGUUCUAUGGGUUGUAAACUUCUUUUAUAAAGGAAUAAAACGAGGCACGUGUGCCGUUUUGCAUGUACUUUAUGAAUAAAGAUCGGCUAACUCCGUGCCAGCAGCCGCGGUAAUACGGAGGAUCCGAGCGUUAUCCGGAUUUAUUGGGUUGAAAGGGAGCGUAGAUGGGUUGUUAAGUCAGUUGUGAAAGUUUGCGGCUCAACCGUAAAAUUGCAAUUGAUACUGGCAGUCUUGAGUACAGUUGAGGUAGGCGGAAUUCGUGGUGUAGCGGUGAAAUGCUUAGAUAUCACGAAGAACCCCGAUUGCGAAGGCAGCUUACUAAGCUGUGACUGACAUUGAUGCUCGAAAGUGUGGGUAUCAAACAGGAUUAGAUACCCCAGUAGUC